UCUGUCUCUCACUGCUUUGCGUGGCCUCCCAGAGAAAUCGCCUGCUUAGACUUCUGAAGUUUUCCCUUUUCUGAGGCGCAAAUGCUUGUUCCCAUCCGAAGACCGUUAAAGAGGAUCCUCCGAGGUUUGACAAGUUGAUACAAUAGAGAAAUUCCACGUUCUUCUUGAAGGUUCAGUUCUGGAGCGAUCACGUAACAGGAAUGGAAGCUGGUCGAGUGAGAGCCAGCAGCACCAUUGCUUCAUCCGCAGGGACAUCUGUUCUACCACCAGUUCCAAGCCAUGAUUAGCACGGAGGAGUCUGGGCAGCCGGGAAAUGAACAAGCAGAGCACCCCUUGAUUCCCCUGCCUUUUAGAGUUCAUCAUUCUGGAAAGCCCUUCUAGUGUUUUGACUAAUAUAU
This is a long non-coding RNA of Alexandromys fortis (reed vole), 398 nucleotides long. RefSeq lists it as uncharacterized. The transcript is spliced from 3 exons. The record is from RefSeq and is a predicted model, not a curated record. Lineage: Eukaryota; Metazoa; Chordata; Mammalia; Rodentia; Cricetidae.